This 2275-nucleotide ribosomal RNA is filed under the name Clostridioides difficile. Its description in RNAcentral is "23S ribosomal RNA". The stretch from base 702 to 2275 matches the Rfam family "Bacterial large subunit ribosomal RNA". Lineage: Bacteria; Bacillati; Bacillota; Clostridia; Peptostreptococcales; Peptostreptococcaceae. The record is from RNAcentral.
CUCAGUUGGUUAGAGCGCCCGGCUCAUAACCGGUAGGUCUGGGGUUCGAGUCCCUGAUGGCCCACCACAUUAAAUUAAUUAAUAUAAAUAUAAAUUCGAGGUGUAGCGCAGUUUGGUAGCGCACAUGGUUUGGGACCAUGGGGCCGGGGGUUCGAGUCCCUUCACCUCGACCAAUAUAAGGUGGGUAUAGCUCAGUUGGUUAGAGCGCCAGAUUGUGGCUCUGGAGGUCGUGAGUUCGACUCUCAUUAUCCACCCCAAAUUAUAUGGUCUAUUAGCUCAGUCGGUAGAGCACCUGACUUUUAAUCAGGGUGUCCCGCGUUCGAGUCGCGGAUAGAUCACCAAAAAGGUGGCGACAUAGCCAAGUGGUAAGGCAGUGGACUGCAACUCCUUGAUCCCCAGUUCGAAUCUGGGUGUCGCCUCCAAAAUAUUCCAAGGUAGCUCAACGGUGGAGCAACCGGCUGUUAACCGGUAGGCUGUGGGUUCGAGCCCCACCCUUGGAGCCAAAAAAAGCCGAAGUGGCGGAACUGGCAGACGCACAGGACUUAAAAUCCUGCGGGACUUACCUCUCGUACCGGUUCGAUUCCGGUCUUCGGCACUUAUAAAACAAUAUCGCGGAGUGGAGCAGUUGGCAGCUCGUCGGGCUCAUAACCCGAAGGUCGUAGGUUCAAGUCCUGCCUCCGCAACCAUUAAAAUGGCUCGUUGGUCAAGAGGUUAAGACACCGCCCUUUCACGGCGGUAACAGGGGUUCAAUUCCCCUACGAGUCACCAAUUAAAUAUGCGGGUGUAGCUCAAUGGUAGAGUUCUGGCCUUCCAAGCCAGCUGUGAGGGUUCGAUCCCCUUCACCCGCUCCAAAAAUGGGACCAUAGCUCAGCUGGGAGAGCACCUGCCUUACAAGCAGGGGGUCACAGGUUCGAGCCCUGUUGGUCCCACCAUUUGCGGCCUGGUAGUUCAGUUGGUUAGAAUGCCAGCCUGUCACGCUGGAGGUCGAGGGUUCGAACCANGGUACCCGUACCGCAAACCGACACAGGUGGGUGAGGAGAGUAUCCUAAGGCCAGCGAGAGAACUGUUGUUAAGGAACUCGGCAAAAUGACCCCGUAACUUAGGGAUAAGGGGUGCCACCAUCCGGUGGCCGCAGAGAAUAGGCCCAAGCGACUGUUUACCAAAAACAUAGGUUUCUGCUAAGUCGCAAGACGAUGUAUAGGAGCUGACGCCUGCCCGGUGCUGGAAGGUUAAGGGGAUCUGUUAGAGCAAUCGAAGCAGUGAACUUAAGCCCCAGUAAACGGCGGCCGUAACUAUAACGGUCCUAAGGUAGCGAAAUUCCUUGUCGGGUAAGUUCCGACCCGCACGAAAGGCGUAACGAUUUGGGCACUGUCUCAACAACAGACUCGGUGAAAUUGUAAUUCCGGUGAAGAUGCCGGAUACCUGCGACAGGACGGAAAGACCCCAUGGAGCUUUACUGUAGCUUGACAUUGGGUCUUGGUACUACAUGUACAGGAUAGGUGGGAGGCUUUGAAACCAGGACGCCAGUUUUGGCGGAGCCAUCCUUGGGAUACCACCCUUGUAGUACUGGGACUCUAACCAUAGGCCAUGAAUCUGGUCUUGGGACACUGUCAGGUGGGCAGUUUGACUGGGGCGGUCGCCUCCCAAAAGGUAACGGAGGCGCUCAAAGGUUCUCUCAGUACGGUCGGAAAUCGUACGUAGAGUGUAAAGGCAAAAGAGAGCUUGAUUGCAAGACAUACAGGUCGAGCAAGGAUGAAAAUCGGACUUAGUGAUCCGGUGGUUCUGCGUGGAAGGGCCAUCGCUCAACGGAUAAAAGCUACCCUGGGGAUAACAGGCUUAUCUCCCCCAAGAGUCCACAUCGACGGGGAGGUUUGGCACCUCGAUGUCGGCUCAUCACAUCCUGGGGCUGUAGUAGGUCCCAAGGGUUGGGCUGUUCGCCCAUUAAAGUGGUACGCGAGCUGGGUUCAGAACGUCGUGAGACAGUUCGGUCCCUAUCCGUCGCAGGCGUAGGAAAUUUGAGAAGACCUGUCCUUAGUACGAGAGGACCGGGAUGGACGUACCUCUGGUGUACCAGUUGUUCUGCCAAGGGCAUGGCUGGGUAGCUAUGUACGGAAUGGAUAAGCGCUGAAAGCAUCUAAGCGCGAAGCCAACUUCAAGAUAAGAUUUCCCACCGCAAGGGUAAGACCCCAGAAAGACUAUCUGGUUGAUAGGUCGAAGGUGUAAGUGCAGCAAUGUAUUUAGCUUAUCGAUACUAAUAGGUCGAGGACUUGACCAA